CCAUCAUGUAACACGCGGUGCCUUGUGAGAUCAAGCCUAAUGUUUGUACAGUGAUACAAACUUCACACAAACACACAAUCCAUCCUCCUUCCUGUAAGGUGAAACGGUUAAAUUGCAGUGUGCAUAGAGAGAUGUGAAGAGAGGACAAUGUGUGUGACUCAGGACAAUAAAGGUCAUAUCAUCUUGGCUGAAAGUAACCUGGGGAUUGCCCUAGCAAUUCCCAGUACACAGAUUUCUACACAUUGUUGAUUAAUUAAAGGGAAAUCGCCCCCAAAACAUUUAUG
Molecule: non-coding RNA, 284 nt
Organism: Pelobates cultripes (western spadefoot toad)
Lineage: Eukaryota; Metazoa; Chordata; Amphibia; Anura; Pelobatidae
Source: the annotation of a GenBank genome assembly